This 1142-nucleotide ribosomal RNA is filed under the name Salmonella enterica. RNAcentral's name for it is "partial 23S ribosomal RNA". It matches the Rfam family "Bacterial large subunit ribosomal RNA", at positions 64 to 1247 of the family's 2925-position model. Lineage: Bacteria; Pseudomonadati; Pseudomonadota; Gammaproteobacteria; Enterobacterales; Enterobacteriaceae. The record is from RNAcentral.
AUCUGCGAUAAGCGCCGGUAAGGUGAUAUGAACCGUUAUAACCGGCGAUACCCGAAUGGGGAAACCCAGUGUGAUUCGUCACACUAUCAUUAACUGAAUCCAUAGGUUAAUGAGGCGAACCGGGGGAACUGAAACAUCUAAGUACCCCGAGGAAAAGAAAUCAACCGAGAUUCCCCCAGUAGCGGCGAGCGAACGGGGAGGAGCCCAGAGCCUGAAUCAGCAUGUGUGUUAGUGGAAGCGUCUGGAAAGGCGCGCGAUACAGGGUGACAGCCCCGUACACAAAAGCGCAUGUGCUGUGAGCUCGAUGAGUAGGGCGGGACACGUGGUAUCCUGUCUGAAUAUGGGGGGACCAUCCUCCAAGGCUAAAUACUCCUGACUGACCGAUAGUGAACCAGUACCGUGAGGGAAAGGCGAAAAGAACCCCGGCGAGGGGAGUGAAAAAGAACCUGAAACCGUGUACGUACAAGCAGUGGGAGCACCCUUCGGGGUGUGACUGCGUACCUUUUGUAUAAUGGGUCAGCGACUUAUAUUCUGUAGCAAGGUUAACCGAAUAGGGGAGCCGGAGGGAAACCGAGUCUUAACCGGGCGUUAAGUUGCAGGGUAUAGACCCGAAACCCGGUGAUCUAGCCAUGGGCAGGUUGAAGGUUGGGUAACACUAACUGGAGGACCGAACCGACUAAUGUUGAAAAAUUAGCGGAUGACCUGUGGCUGGGGGUGAAAGGCCAAUCAAACCGGGAGAUAGCUGGUUCUCCCCGAAAGCUAUUUAGGUAGCGCCUCGUGAAUUCAUCUCCGGGGGUAGAGCACUGUUUCGGCUAGGGGGCCAUCCCGGCUUACCAACCCGAUGCAAACUGCGAAUACCGGAGAAUGUUAUCACGGGAGACACACGGCGGGUGCUAACGUCCGUCGUGAAGAGGGAAACAACCCAGACCGCCAGCUAAGGUCCCAAAGUCAUGGUUAAGUGGGAAACGAUGUGGGAAGGCCCAGACAGCCAGGAUGUUGGCUUAGAAGCAGCCAUCAUUUAAAGAAAGCGUAAUAGCUCACUGGUCGAGUCGGCCUGCGCGGAAGAUGUAACGGGGCUAAACCAUGCACCGAAGCUGCGGCAGCGACACUGUGUGUUGUUGGGUAGGGGAGCGUUCUGUAAG